RNAcentral lists this ribosomal RNA (253 nucleotides) under uncultured bacterium. RNAcentral describes it as "partial 16S ribosomal RNA". It matches the Rfam family "Bacterial small subunit ribosomal RNA", at positions 524 to 776 of the family's 1533-position model. The record is from RNAcentral.
UACGUAGGGGGCGAGCGUUGUCCGGAGUUACUGGGCGUAAAGGGCAUGCAGGCGGUCAGGCGCGUUUUGUGUGACAGCGGAUGGCUUAACUAUCCGAGGAUACGAGAUACGGCGUGACUUGAGAGCGCGAGAGGGACACGGAAUUCCGGGUGGAGUGGUGAAAUGCGUAGAGAUCCGGAGGAACACCGAAGGCGAAGGCAGUGUCCUGGCGCGUAUCUGACGCUGAGGUGCGAAAGCCAGGGGAGCGAACGGG